This 302-nucleotide long non-coding RNA is filed under the name Amborella trichopoda. RNAcentral describes it as "long non-coding RNA (ATRI_LNC001220)". The record is from RNAcentral. Lineage: Eukaryota; Viridiplantae; Streptophyta; Magnoliopsida; Amborellales; Amborellaceae.
GAGCAGGUUUACCAACACCUGCUCCCAGCGAAGCGAAGUGCUUACGCACUGAGCGAGCCGGCGCCUCCCGCUGCAGGCUUGAAGCCCCUGUCUACUCCGUACCCUUGGGCUUCAAGCUUCAAGCCCACUGUGCUAGUGGUGGGUAGUGCUUUGUCCCCCUGCAAAUCUCUGGUUAGGUCUCAAAUGCAUAGGCCCCACUACUUUGAGGGAUGCCAUAAGUGGGGUGGGCUCCAAGGAACUGACUGGUCUCUAAGUCCCUCAACGAACAACAACCUAUCCUCAUCCAUACCUUGUGACCAUAA